UAGGGUAUAUUGGUAAUGUGGGAAACCGCGAACCAGCAACGCCGCGUGUGCGAUGAAGGCCUUCGGGUUGUAAAGCACUUUUUGAGGGGAUGAGGUAGGACAGUACCUUCAGAAUAAGUCUCGGCUAACUACGUGCCAGCAGCCGCGGUAACACGUAGGAGACAAGCGUUAUCCGGAUUUACUGGGCGUAAAGCGCAUGCAGGCGGUUUGAUAAGUUGGAUGUGAAAGCUCCCGGCUUAACUGGGAGAGGUCGUUCAAUACUGUCGAACUAGAGGAUGGAAGAGGAAGGUGGAAUUCCGGGUGUAGUGGUGAAAUGCGUAGAUAUCCGGAGGAACACCAGUGGCGAAAGCGACCUUCUGGUCCAUAACUGACGCUCAUAUGCGAAAGCUAGGGUGGCAA
This 399-nucleotide ribosomal RNA is filed under the name uncultured bacterium. RNAcentral describes it as "bacterial SSU rRNA". It matches the Rfam family "Bacterial small subunit ribosomal RNA", at positions 355 to 771 of the family's 1533-position model. The record is from RNAcentral.